RNAcentral lists this transfer RNA (6738 nucleotides) under Sus scrofa (pig). Its description in RNAcentral is "lncRNA (ENSSSCG00000063478.1)". Lineage: Eukaryota; Metazoa; Chordata; Mammalia; Artiodactyla; Suidae. The record is from RNAcentral.
CUAGGGGUCUAAUUGGAGUUACAGCUGCCAGGCUACGUCAGAGCCACAGAGCCAGAUUCAAGCCACAUCUGCAACCCACACCACAGCUCACAGCAACACUGGAUCCUUACCCACUGAGCAAGGCCAGGGAUCAAACCCACAAACUCAUGGUUCCUAGUUGGAUUUGUUUCCCCUGUGCCAUGAAAGGAACGUCCGGAAAAAAAAAUUUUUAUACAAGUUCUGCAUUGCAUUCUGGUGUUGAUCUGUAAUGGAUACAUAUAGUUCCUUUCUCGUUUGUGAUCAUCUGGUAAGAAUGAUGACCUUUUCCAAGGUCUGAGUCAGUUCAGUUCAACUCCAAGUAACUCCACUAAAAUAAAUGUUUCCCCUACAACCAAGUCAGCAUAUGAAUGGUAUGAAUGAGCAUAGUUAGCAAAAAUAAUAUAGGGAGUUCCCUGGUGGUCUAGGUGGUUAGGACUCGGAGCUUUCACCAGUGCAGCUUGGGUUUGAUCCCUGAUCUAGGGAUUAAGAUCUUACAUCAAGCUGCUGCAAGCCAUGGUUUAAAAAAUCCAAAAAACCAAAAACACAAAUAAUAAUAAUACAGAUAGACUCUGUUAGAUAGGAAGUACACUGAAUUGAUGUAUUCCAAAAUUAAAUAACUGAAAAGUUAUGUUUUAAGUUUACAUCUAUUUUUAUAGUUCCUUCAUAAAAGAGCAUUUCCCAGUAACAAUUAACCACUUGGUUUGAUACUUUGUGAAAGAAUUCUUGAGAUAUUUAUAAGUACAUAUAUGUCUUUAACCAUUUGGAUUGUUCUAACAAAAUACCAUAGAUGGGGUGGCUUAUAAACAACAAACAUUUACUUCUUACAAUUCUGGAGGCUGGGAAGUCCAAGAUCAAGGUGUUGGCAGAUUCGAUGUCAGGUGAGGGCUUCUUGAUUCAUAGAAGCUGUAUUCUAUUUCCUCGCAUGGCAGAAUGAGUGAGGGAGUUUCUGGAGUCUCUUUCAUAAGGGCACUAAUCGCAUUCUUGAGGGCUCUACCCUCAUGACUUAAUCACUUCCCAAAGGCCCACCUCUUAAUACUCUCACCUUACCUUUCAGGUUAGAAUAGUGAUUAUUCUAAUAGUGAUUAUAUAUGAUUAUAUAUGUCAUAAUUAAAGAAUACAGCAAGUUCUUUUUGGUUUGGGUUUUGUUUGUUUGUUUGUUUUUUGUUUUUUGCUUCUUAGGGCCACACCUGUGGCAUAUGGAAGUUUCCAGGCUAGGGGUCAAAUCAGAGCUGUAGCUGCUGCUGCCCUACACCACAGCCACAGGAAUGUGGGUUUCAAGCCACAUCUGCAACCUACACCACAGCUCAUAGCAAUGCCAGAUCCUUAACCCACUGAGCAAGGCCAGGUAUUAAACCUCAUUCUCAGGGAUACUAGGCAGGUGCAUAACCUGCUGAGCCAUAAGGGGAGCUCCCUAUAGCCAAGUUUUCAUAAGGAAAUACUUUGUUAUUUUCUAAAUAAAAAUUUUGAACAAAUGUUUGCUGAACAUCAUAGUGCUAAGUGUUGGGAGGAAUGCAAAAAAGUGAAAGACAGUCCCCUUCCUCAAAAACACAUGUCCACACACUCUCAUUGAAGAAACCAAGCAUGAAUUGUUUAAAAAGUACAAGGCCCCAGCAGAUUGGAAGUCAGCAAUGUGAAGGGUGGUGGAUAAAAGAAACUCCUCAAGAGCCAGCACAGAGACUUCCUGGAAACCAAGUGACUCGAGCAGUUCAUAAAGCACUUGUUCCACCCUGGCUAUGUAUUAGAUUCACGUGGAUUACAUCUAAACACCCUGAUGCCUGGGCGCCACCCUCAGAGAUCCCCAGCUGAAUCUAAGGAGGUUGCUCUAGUGUUGGUCCCAGGACUGCCUGCUGCUCCAAGAUCAGAAUGUCGGUCAGCUAUGUCACAGAGCACAAUGUUCAGUUCUGCUGACAUCCUUCUUAGGAAAAUAACAUGACAUGACAUUCUCGAUGAAAGAAGCAGUAGGUUGAUUACCCUCUGGUAAAAGGGUCUCAUCUUCUUGGGUCCAUGUUUUGAGUAGCGCUGCUAAAUCAUGAGUGGAAUUUACUCACAUAGGUUUGGAGGAACAGAAGGAAGCAAGCAUUCAUGAAAAUAGCAAAAACAAAGGUACAGGAAUGGGGAGAAACAAGAUAUUUCAGAGCGACUUUUCUCUAGAGAUUUGAUGACAUCAUUAAUAUUCACUAUAACACUAAAGGUUUAUUAAUGAAGAACAAUUUAAGAUAUUACAAAAUGGUCAGCAUCUCUUUCCACAUUAUUCCCUUUAUUCCACAUUCCCCCCUUUUUAAUGCACUUAAUGUUUGUAAGUAAAAAUUCCAGGUUUAAUUUACUUUUCUUUGUAUCUGUAGCCUUUUCUGCCUGUGCUGCACCACUUAGCUUACUGUCUAGUUUGGAAUAUGUGUUCAAUAGACAAUUUUUCCAUUUUUUAUUGUGGCAAAAUUUACACAUCUGUAAAGUAAACAAUGACAUAAUGUGCUGCCAGGUACCAAUUACCCAGCUUCAAGAAUUAUCAAUACUCUGCCAUUUCUGCUUCUUUGUAACUCCACCCACUCCCUGGCCCUGAAUUAAUUAUUGCUUUUUAAGUUUCAUCGGAGGUAAAGUUUACCUGUACCAAAAUGACGCAAUAACAGAGCCACACAGUUGGCUGCACGAUUUUGGCAAAUGCGUACAUCUGAGGAGCCCACACCCCUGCAACAGAGAACAUCUCUGUCACUCCAGAAGUUUCCUUCACAUCUCUUGUCAGCCAACCUCACCAACCAGGGGCAACUGAUAGGAUUUUUUUUUUUCGCCUUAGUUGAAAUUUGCCUGUUCCAAAAUACCAUUUAAUGAAGUGCACAGCAUUUAUCUUCUGCAUCUCGAUUCUUUUGCUUCACAUAAUGUGGGGUUCAUCCAUUCAAUAAACAUUUUUUUUUAAAUAAAUAAUUCUAGGCUAGAAAGUGGCAGGAGCAGAGGGCUCAAGAUGAGGACAGAUUGGGUGAGUGGGUUGGCAUCAUCUGUGAUAGUCCCUGGAAGCCAAAACAAGGAACUUUUACUCUGUUUUCCUGGCUGCAAGUCAGCAGUCUGCUGCAUCACUGCUGUGAGGGCCUAAGAAACAAUUCUGACAACACAUCUCACUCCCCACCGCUUUUGUGAGUCACUGCUGUGCCGCUGAGUGGCAGCGCCUGUUGCCAAACUCUCUGUGGAGCCGCUGCAGUCACACCUCCCCUGAAGAGCUGGCCUGGUCACAAGUCCCAUCCCACACCCCCUGGAGAGAUAGGAAUAUGGAGUGGAGAUCUUGGCCCGUGCUUUUGAAAGACUGUGUGUGCCUUCUGGAGGUAGUGGAGCUGGGAAGUCAGUGAUAGGAAAAGCUGGGCACUGGGAGUGUCAGGGCCCCUGUCUUGAUAGCUCCGGACUGGCUGUGUACUGCUAGUGGGGGGACUCAGCUGUCCUGCAGGGCUGCUCAGGCAGUUUAGAUCCAUGUGGGUGCAGUAGGAGGUCGAGAAUGCCGCAGACCAACCAUGGAAUUCAGCAGCGAUAAAAGAUUGGUUGACUGGGUCAGGCUCAGAGCCACAGCACUCGGGCCCUGGAAUUGGAAUCCAGGUCAAGGAUGAAGAAUACAGUCUGGACUCCAGCUAACUUUUGGAACCUAGAAAGUCCAAGGCAGAAGAGCAAGGAGGGUGUUUUCUUCUAGCAAAAAGCCUAAGCAGGGUUAUACUGGAGAAGCAGUUGUCCAGCAGAGAAAAAUGUGCCUGGAGGCUGAUCCUGGGUGAUCUUUUCCUUCCUAAACAACCUGUUGUCUUUCCUCAAAUUCCAGAAAAUCAUACAUUUAGAGGUCUUAAGAAAAGGGCAGGAGUUCCCGUCAUGGCGCAGUGGUUAACGAAUCCGACUAGGAACCAUGAGGUUGAGGGUUCGAUCCCUGGCCUUGCUCAGUGGGUCGAGGAUCUGGCGUUGCUGUGAGCUGUGGUGUAGGUUGCAAACGCGGCUCGGAUCCCGAGUUGCUGUGGCUCUGGCGUAGGCCAGUGGCUGUGGCUCCGAUUAAACCCCUACCCUGGGAAUCUCCAUAUGCCUCGAGAGUGGCCCUAGAAAAGGCAAAAAGACCAAAAAAAAAAAAAAAAAAAAAAAAAAAAGGCAGGAGAACCUGUAAGUGCCUUAUUGUAAUUGAUAGGAUCAAAGCCCCAAGUGCUAGAACCUGGGUGUUGCUAGAUAGCAAUUUACCCCCAAAUCACUCCAAAAUGUGUGGCUUAAAAAACAGCUAUUAUCUGAUCUUUUCUGUGGGUCAGGAAUCAGGACACAGUUUAGUGGGGUCAUACAGCUCAGGGUUUUCACAGGCUCCAAUCAAGGGGUCAGCCAGGGCUGCUGUCACAUCUGAAGGUUCCCCAAGAGAAUUUCCCACUACAAGUCUCACCCCUACAGGUGUCGUAGGAUUCAGCUCUUAUGAGAUGUUAGGAUGAGGGUCUUGAUUCUUUACUGGCUGUUAGUCAGAGGCUGCCCAGAGUCUCUUGCCAAGUGAACUUUUCUACUUACUUUAAUGAGAGCAACAUGUGAGAAGAGUCAGAAAGACAGAAUGUAUAAAAAGAUAAAAGUCAGGGAAUUUCCUUCAUGGCUCAGUGGUUAAUGAACCGGACUAGGAUCCAUGAGGAUGCUGGUUCGAUUCCUGGCCUCUCUCAGUGGGUUUAGGGUCCAGUGUUGCAAUGAGCUGUAGUGUAGGUCACAGACUCGGCUCAGAUCCCAAGUUGCUGUGGCUGCAGUGUGAGCUGGCGGCUAUAGCUCCAACUUGACCCCUAGCCUGGGAACUUCCACAUGCCGUGGGUGUGCCCCCCCCAAAAAAAAAAGUCAUUCUUUUAUAACCUCAACCAAAAAGGACCAUCCCUUUGAGGAUUUUCAUUAAGAUUAAGUCACAGGUCCAACCCAUCCAUGCAUAGGCAUGAAUACAAGAGGUGGAGGCACUGGAAGUCAGGUGGGAAGUUGCCCACCACCCUAGGGGACUGGAAGAGUGGAAAGACCAUGGGCCCUGAUAGUCCAAUGGAGGUCAUGGGGACCCAGAUGAUGGGUGAGGUGAGGUUGGGAUCCAGAACCUCAGCCCACACCCAUCCAAGCCAUGGGAGAGCUUGAGAAAGAGGGCACGAUGGGGACAAACUAGGGAGCACCCGGUUCUGACCUUAUGCAGGGUGUAGACUGAACUUCAUUGCACAAUAAACUGACCUGUCAUCUGGACAAUCAAGUCUGUCCCUGAGAACUCUGAGGGACCCCGAACUCUAAGGGACUCCAAAUGAACUCUAAUUGGCCAUUUUUUAGUGAUUUCCUCCUGAUUCCCAGAGAACUGACUGGUGAAACUGACCUUGGCCAUGGUGUUGAACCACACAGGCAAAAGAAGCUAUUUCUGGGUUUUUUUGACACUGUUUAAGGCCUAAACAUUGUUUUGCCUUAAUUGUGUCUGCUACUUUUCUAGAAGCUUUUCUUCUGUUUUUGACAAGGAUGUAACAUCUGCCUUCUCUAUCUCACAAAGUUCUCAUGGGAGCCAAAGGAGGUAGUGUUCAUAAAUGCAUUUUAAAAGUUUUUUAAAGGAAAAAUAUCAGAUAUUCAAACCACAUAUUGUUAUUAUCAUUGCUGUUGCCUUAAACAAUUGGUUGUCAGAAAAGAGCAAAGCUUUCCAGAUAAGCUUUGGCUCCUUCCGCUUCUGUUCUGACAGCAGGUGAUCCUCCAUCCCCAGAGGAGGGCUGUUUUUGGUGACUCUGAGGUUCACUCCGCUCCAGUCACUGACUGAGGUUGGCCAUGCCCUCCCCAGGCUAGGGGCAUACAUGUGCCCCUUAGUUUUGAUUACCCAGCCGCUCCCUGUGUAAAGCACAGGGCUUUCGGCCUGCCCCAGGGGCCUCCCAUUUUCACCCUCUGUGCUCUAUCUCCCUCUGCAUGAAACUGUUCCCGGGUGCCAGGCACUCAUUGUUGCGUUUCCUUUGCACUUUUGACCUGGAUCUAUUUCUUUUUUGUGGUUUGUUUUGUUUUCGUUUUUUUGGGGGUUUUUCUUUUUUUGGCUGCACUACUGACAUGCAGAAGUUCCUGGGCCAGGGAUCAAACCCACAUCACAGCAGUAGCCCUGGCCUCAGCAGUGACAAUGCCAGAUACUUAACCUGUUGAGCCACCAGGGAACUGCAUGGAUCUAUUUCAAUCAUCACGAUUGCUUUGCAAAGUAGAUAUGGUAAUUCUUCCCUUUUUUUUUUUUUUUUUUUUUUGGUCUUUCUGCCAUUUCUUGGGCCACUCCUGAGGCAUAUGGAGGUUCCCAGGCUAGGGGUCUAAUCAGACCCCUAGCCUACACAACAACCACAGCAACAGCAGGAUCCGAGCUGCGUCUAUGACCUACACUACAGCUCACAGCAACGCCGGAUCCUUAACCCACUGAGCAAGGCCAGGGAUUGAACCCACACCCUCAUGGUUCCUAGUCGGAUUCGUUAACCACUGAGUCACGACAGGAACUCCGUUAAUUCUCAUCUUCUGAAGCCCAAGCCUUUACAGCUAGUGACAGCCAGGAUCCAAACGCCGGCCCACUCGCUCCCUUGUACUCAGGUGCCCAGUGCCCACUCCCAUUAGGUCAGGAGACACUGUUCUUCAAGUUCUGUGAUUCCCCACAGUAACUGGGGAUGUUGCCCACAGGUAGAAAAAGUGAUAUGGGCAAACACCUGACAGACACACAUAUUUCUGCCACAAUUUAUUACUGAUACAUUGUAAUGGAUGAAAAAGAUUAACUUGUAUUUU